This 341-nucleotide ribosomal RNA is filed under the name uncultured bacterium. RNAcentral's name for it is "bacterial SSU rRNA". It matches the Rfam family "Bacterial small subunit ribosomal RNA", at positions 28 to 375 of the family's 1533-position model. The record is from RNAcentral.
GACGAACGCUGGCGGCGGGGCUUAACACAUGCAAGUCGAACGAACGCCUUCGGGCGUUAGUGGCGCACGGGUGAGUAACACGUAGGCAGUCUACCCUCGGGCUGGGGAAUAACCAGGGGAAACCCUGGCUAAUACCGCAUAACGAUCUGGACGUCGCCUGGCGACCAGAUCAAAGCUUUAUGUGGCCGAGGAUGAGCCUGCGUCGGAUUAGCUAGUUGGUGGGUAACGGCCUACCAAGGCGACGAUCCGUAGCGGGUCUGAGAGGGUGAUCCGCCACACUGGCACUGAGACACGGGCCAGACUCCUACGGGAGGCAGCAGUGAGGAAUAUUGCGCAAUGGA